UACAUGGAGAGCUUUCUGUGAAGCCGGGCUGUAAGGCAUCCGGUGGAGAGAUCAGAAGCGAGAAUGUUGACAUGAGUAGCGACAAGCAGGGUGAGAAACCCUGUCGCCGAAAGUCCAAGGGUUCCUGCUUAAAGCUAAUCUGAGCAGGGUAAGCCGGCCCCUAAGGCGAGGCCGAAAGGCGUAGUCGAUGGGAACCAGGUUAAUAUUCCUGGGCCAGUGGGAUGUGACGGAUCGCAGAUGUAGCUUGCCCUUAUCGGAUUGGGUGGGCUGCUGAGCGGUUCCUGGAAAUAGCCCCACAUCAGACCGUACCCUAAACCGACACAGGUGGACUGGUAGAGUAUACCAAGGCGCUUGAGAGAACCACGUUAAAGGAACUCGGCAAAAUGCCUCCGUAAGUUCGCGAGAAGGAGGCCCCAUAUGUAGGCAACUAUGUGUGGGGGGCACAAACUAGGGGGUGGCGACUGUUUACUUAAAACACAGGGCUGUGCGAAGCCGUAAGGCGACGUAUACAGUCUGACGCCUGCCCGGUGCUGGAAGAUUAAGAGGAGGGGUGCAAGCUCUGAAUUGAAGUCCCAGUAAACGGCGGCCGUAACGAUAACGGUCCUAAGGUAGCGAAAUUCCUUGUCGGGUAAGUUCCGACCUGCACGAAUGGCGUAACGAUCUCCCCGCUGUCUCUAACGUGGACUCAGCGAAAUUGAACUGUGUGUCAAGAUGCACACUACCCGCGGUUAGACGGAAAGACCCCAUGAACCUUUACUCCAGCUUUGCACUGGUAUCAGGAUUGUGGUGUGCAGGAUAGGUGGUAGGCACUGAAACGGGGACGCCAGUCUUCGUGGAGCCUCCCUUGAGAUACCACCCUUCGCCAUCUUGAUAUCUAACCGCGGCCCGUUAUCCGGGUCCGGGACCCUGCAUGGUGGGGAGUUUGACUGGGGCGGUCGCCUCCCAAACAGUAACGGAGGCGCGCGAUGGUUGGCUCAGACCGGUCGGAAAUCGGUCGUUGAGUGCAAUGGCAGAAGCCAGCCUGACUGCAAGACUGACAAGUCGAGCAGAGACGAAAGUCGGUCAUAGUGAUCCGGUGGUCCCAAGUGGGAGGGCCAUCGCUCAACGGAUAAAAGGUACUCUGGGGAUAACAGGCUGAUGAUGCCCAAGAGCCCAUAUCGACGGCAUCGUUUGGCACCUCGAUGUCGACUCAUCUCAUCCUGGGGCUGGAGCAGGUCCCAAGGGUAUGGCUGUUCGCCAUUUAAAGAGGUACGUGAGCUGGGUUUAGAACGUCGUGAGACAGUUCGGUCCCUAUCUGCCGUGGGUGCAGGAGACUUGAGAAGAGUUGACCCUAGUACGAGAGGACCGGGUUGAACGAACCACUGGUGGACCAGUUAUCGUGCCAACGGUAGUGCUGGGUAGCUAUGUUCGGACAGGAUAACCGCUGAAGGCAUCUAAGCGGGAAGCCCCCUUCAAAACAAGGUCUCCCUUGAGGGCCGUGGAAGACGACCACGUCGAUAGGCCAGAGGUGUAAGUGCAGCAAUGCAUUCAGCUGACUGGUACUAAUUGCCCAA
RNAcentral lists this ribosomal RNA (1553 nucleotides) under metagenome. Its description in RNAcentral is "bacterial LSU rRNA". It matches the Rfam family "Bacterial large subunit ribosomal RNA", at positions 1226 to 2912 of the family's 2925-position model. The record is from RNAcentral.